AGCCUAUGAAGGUAUAGGAGUAGUGGGCAGAAGAGAUUUCCAAAAAAAAUUUAUUCUGAGUUU
RNAcentral lists this small nucleolar RNA (63 nucleotides) under Marmota marmota marmota (Alpine marmot). RNAcentral's name for it is "Small nucleolar RNA SNORD75 (ENSMMMG00000016180.1)". It matches the Rfam family "Small nucleolar RNA SNORD75". Rfam says of the family: U75 (SNORD75) belongs to the C/D class of snoRNAs which contain the C (UGAUGA) and D (CUGA) box motifs. Most of the members of the box C/D family function in directing site-specific 2'-O-methylation of substrate RNAs. The record is from Rfam by way of RNAcentral. RNAcentral also lists the same sequence under 1 other name. Lineage: Eukaryota; Metazoa; Chordata; Mammalia; Rodentia; Sciuridae.